GCCUGAGUGGUGAAAUAGGUAGACACAGCGGACUUAAAAUCCGCCGCUUCGUGAAAACGGGCGUACCGGUUCGAUUCCGGUCUCAGGCACCA
RNAcentral lists this transfer RNA (92 nucleotides) under Polaromonas sp. RNAcentral describes it as "tRNA-Leu". It matches the Rfam family "tRNA". Rfam says of the family: Transfer RNA (tRNA) molecules are approximately 80 nucleotides in length. RNAcentral also lists the same sequence under 7 other names. Lineage: Bacteria; Pseudomonadati; Pseudomonadota; Betaproteobacteria; Burkholderiales; Comamonadaceae. The record is from RNAcentral.